Molecule: ribosomal RNA, 201 nt
Filed under: uncultured bacterium
Lineage: Bacteria
Description: partial 16S ribosomal RNA
Rfam family: Bacterial small subunit ribosomal RNA
Source: RNAcentral
UACGUAGGGUGCAAGCGUUGUCCGGAAUUAUUGGGCGUAAAGAGCUCGUAGGCGGUUUGUCGCGUCUGCUGUGAAAACCCGAGGCUCAACCUCGGGCCUGCAGUGGGUACGGGCAGACUAGAGUGUGGUAGGGGAGACUGGAAUUCCUGGUGUAGCGGUGAAAUGCGCAGAUAUCAGGAGGAACACCGAGUGGCGAAGGCA